AUACGGAGGGUGCAAGCGUUAUCCGGAAUCAUUGGGUUUAAAGGGUCCGUAGGCGGGCUAAUAAGUCAGGGGUGAAAUCUUGCAGCUUAACUGUGGAACUGCCCUUGAUACUGUUGGUCUUGAGUUACAGUGAAGUGGUUAGAAUGUGUAGUGUAGCGGUGAAAUGCAUAGAGAUUACACAGAAUACCGAUUGCGAAGGCAGAUCACUAACUGUAUACUGACGCUAAUGGACGAAAGCGUGGGGAGCGAACAGGAUUAGAAACCCCGGUAGUCC
Molecule: ribosomal RNA, 274 nt
Filed under: uncultured bacterium
Lineage: Bacteria
Description: partial 16S ribosomal RNA
Rfam family: Bacterial small subunit ribosomal RNA
Source: RNAcentral